RNAcentral lists this transfer RNA (78 nucleotides) under Bacteroidota bacterium. RNAcentral describes it as "Bacteroidetes bacterium (activated sludge metagenome) tRNA-Val". It matches the Rfam family "tRNA". From Rfam's summary of the family: Transfer RNA (tRNA) molecules are approximately 80 nucleotides in length. Their secondary structure includes four short double-helical elements and three loops (D, anti-codon, and T loops). Lineage: Bacteria; Pseudomonadati; Bacteroidota. The record is from RNAcentral.
GGGCGUUUAGCUCAGCUGGUCCAGAGCAUCUGCCUUACAAGCAGAGGGUCCGGGGUUCGAAUCCCUGAACGCCCACCA